UUGGGGUUACCGCGGAAACAGCGGCUGGAAGUGAGGGAGGGAACACAGGAUACGCGGAAGUCGCAGGCUCAGGGAAGGAAGGGGACGCCGGGACCGCGGGAGGCACGGCCACGGGGGAGUUGGAGGGCGCUGGGACCGCAGAAACUAUCGCCGAGAACGAGAACUCAACAAAACAGACUCAGCUGUGGCACCCGGAAAGAAUUUGAAGACCCAAAGAAAAAGAACCCUCAGAUCACCCUUAGAGAACUUAGCAUUAUAUUUAAGAAGGGCCUUAGAAACUUGGGAAUGUCUUUCUGCUCAAUGGAUAGUUUGCUACCCAUUGAGAGGUCUCCCUCUUAAGAGAUAAAAGAAAGGAAAAAAAAUAUAGAAAAGGUGACAGUCACCAGACUAUAGUCACCACCUCAGUGUGUCAGAAAAAAAAAAUCUCAGAGGAGGUUUUGCUGAUUCGGCCGGUCCUCGAAGCCUCGAGGGUUGUCGGCCGCCCCCAGAGAAAUCCCCCAGAAAAUAGGGGUUUUUUCUCUCAGGGAACUGGAACAGUGACUGUGACUUAGAAUCCAGAGGAGAUCCAAUGGAGACACUUUCAAAAGGCUAGAUAAAGCCUCAAGUUCAGGGCCCAGUUGUGCGCCAAUUAGAAAAAUGCGGGUGUUGAGUGGUGGGUGCUGCUGCCUAAUAUCUGUUCCCAAUGAACCUCUCCUGUAGAAAAGCAGGUUGGGUAAACAUUCACGCAAUGCAGUCAGAUCCCCACACAACACUCACUGCAGCAGGCUCAGAAGAGAGGCAAGAAUGGCUCUUUUUGCAAGGUUUUAUUCCAGCAAGAUAAAUCACAGGAAGCUGAAGGGAACCUGGCAAGAAAGAGGACCACCAUGUGGUGCAGGCAACUUAAGAAGGGGAAGGAGUGGGGGAUGGAGAUAAGGGCUGGGCAGAGGGGAUUGGUCUCCAGGGGAAAGGGCACAGCCACCAGGGAUAUCCAACCAAUGAGGGAACAGGGAAAGGAGAAACCAGGGGAAGUCCAUGGGGGAGUCUGUCUUUUCCCUCCAGGAAGACUACUCUAUGGUAUUUAGUCACUGCCUUCACCAGGGCAGAGGACUUGGGAAUUGACUGAGAGCAGAGAGUUCAUGGGAUGCUACACUGGAUGAACAAUCAACAUAUAUUCUUUCCCCUUCUGAGAGGGCUUGCUCUACUAGAUCCUCCAGAACUUUAGUUCGGUAUUGGAUAAUUUCUAAACAAUUAUGUGUUGAAUUACUUUUUGGUUUCCCAUAUAAAAAUUGUGCUGGAUUCAAACUUUUGUUUACUUCUAGUGCUAGGUCAUCACUGUUUAUCAAAAUAGCUUGACAUUUUAAUAUCCUAGAAUCUGUUAGCCAGUUUUCAGCUUUUUGAUUUAACAUAUUUCAGACUGCAUGAGGUGUAUACACAAUUAGUUUACUUCCAAAAGUAAGUUUAUGGCUUUCCUCCACCAAAAUAGCAGUAGCUGCUAUAGCCUGAAUACAAACUGUCCAUCCAUGGCUCACUGGAUCCAAGAAUUUUGAUAAAUAUGCUAUUGGUCUUUUUAUCCCCUCCCCCCCCCCCCCAACCCCCCAGUCUUGGACUAAAACUCCAUGAGCUACUGCACCUUCCACAAUCACAUACAGAAGACAGGACUAUUCUAAUGAAGGCAAACUCAAACCAGGUACCAAAGCCAGUUUCAACUUCAAUUUUUCUGAUUUUUUAUCAUCUUCCCUGGUCCACUUUAUGUCAUCUCCCUCUGUAGCAAGAUUUCUGAGAGAGAGAGGACAUGAUUUAUAUUUAGAGUGAAGGUUGAGCUACCCCCAGCCUAGGCCUCAGAUAUGGGCCUUGGCAAGGCCUUUGAAAGUUAUGGCGCAGUUAGAAAUUAGUUUGUGGUGCAGUAAGAAAUUAUGUUAAGGUGUGACCACAAAGUAAUGAGCUUUCUGAGUGUGAAUUAGUUUAGGUCUGCAGUGUGAAACUUUAGCCACCUUAAGACAAAGACAAACAAUGUUUGCUGGCCAAUGAUAGUGUUCUCACAAUUUGUAAACUAUAUUGAAGUGUAUAUAAACUGCCAUCUUAUAAACAAUAAACGAAGAAUGUAGCAUUAAA
Non-coding RNA from Taeniopygia guttata (zebra finch), 2091 nucleotides. NCBI's taxonomy places the organism in Eukaryota, Metazoa, Chordata, Aves, Passeriformes, Estrildidae. The record is from RefSeq and is a predicted model, not a curated record.